RNAcentral lists this ribosomal RNA (484 nucleotides) under uncultured bacterium. RNAcentral's name for it is "partial 16S ribosomal RNA". It matches the Rfam family "Bacterial small subunit ribosomal RNA", at positions 30 to 507 of the family's 1533-position model. The record is from RNAcentral.
AUUGAACGCUGGCGGCAGGCCUAACACAUGCAAGUCGAGCGGAUGAAGGGAGCUUGCUCCUGGAUUCAGCGGCGGACGGGUGAGUAAUGCCUAGGAAUCUGCCUGGUAGUGGGGGAUAACGUCCGGAAACGGGCGCUAAUACCGCAUACGUCCUGAGGGAGAAAGUGGGGGAUCUUCGGACCUCACGCUAUCAGAUGAGCCUAGGUCGGAUUAGCUAGUUGGUGGGGUAAAGGCCUACCAAGGCGACGAUCCGUAACUGGUCUGAGAGGAUGAUCAGUCACACUGGAACUGAGACGCGGUCCUGACUCCUACGGGAGGCAGCAGUGGGGAAUGUUGGACGCUGGGCGAAAGCCUGAUCCAGCCGUGCCGCGUGUGUGAAGAAGGUCUUCGGAUUGUAAAGCACUUUAAGUUGGGAGGAAGGGUAGUACGUUAAUACCUUGCUGUUUUGACGUUACCAACAGAAUAAGCACCGGCUAACUUCGUG